AUGGCCAAUUUUUUUUAAGAAACACAUUAAGUUCUAGGUUUCCCCUCUCACCCACAUGAAUGGUUCGUGGAAUCACCCAAUUCACCAUCCACAUUAGGUUUAAGGGCUCCAAAAAUGUUUUAAGAAGACUUGACAUAGUAUGCACGAACUAUCAAUUAAGAAGGAACUUAGAACCUCUAUGGCUCAUGUAUGGUAGGAAAAAAAAUAGUCAAAAGAAACACAUUAAGUUCUAGGUUUCUCCUCUCACCCACAUGAAUGGUUCGUGGAAUCACCCAAUUCACCAUCCAAAUUAGGUUUAAGGGCUCAAAAAAUGUUUUAAGAAG
Andrographis paniculata is the source of this 323-nucleotide long non-coding RNA. RefSeq lists it as uncharacterized. NCBI's taxonomy places the organism in Eukaryota, Viridiplantae, Streptophyta, Magnoliopsida, Lamiales, Acanthaceae. The record is from RefSeq and is a predicted model, not a curated record. The transcript has 3 exons.